UGCGCUUCUCAGGUCUUGUUCACAUAUCAGAGGAGAGGACAUUUUCUUAUGUUUUUAUCAGGUCUUGCUUCGUAGAAUGGAACAACUACUGACUCCGCAAUUCACAGAAACGACAUGGUGCUGAAAAAAAUAGGAAACUUCUUUACAGUUGAGGUUGUCUGGGGAUGAAGUAUGAUGCUCUCUUUUUGGAUUCAUAUACCCAUAAAGAUCUUGAACUACUUUAGAUUUAGUGGCCUGAAUUCUGGUACGAGCUUCACUAACGUGAUGUUGCAUCAUUGCUCUUUGGGUUGAUGACUCACCAAAGAAGAGAACAUAUAAGCUCAUGGAAUCUAGAACUCUAAUUGGGAAUGUGGUACACCGUGUGAGGAAGGGUUUCUGAAUUUUAGGUUUUGAGAAUGCCUCAAACAAAUUUGAGGUGAUUGAUAAACUUUGAAGAAAAGUUGGAGUAGUUCAGUGAAUGGAGAGCCGUUGCAUGAAUUCAUAAACAAAGCUGAGAAAAAAAUGCUUGUAUUCUUCAUGGAGUAUGCUUGUGGCGAUAACUUUGAAGAGAAAACCAAAUUAUUCAUGAACGGAUUGCCCAUUGAAAUGGUGAAUAUUUCACAAAAAUGAUUAUAGUAGGGCGUGAAUCAAUCCAUGAGACUGAAAUUGUUCAUGGAGAUUUUGCACCAUAAGAUGUGACUUUAGCGCCAAGAGAGUUGGUGACAGUGGUUGGUGGAGUCAUGAACACUAUUUCUAAGGUGUUACCCCGUGCAUUUCCCAUAAAUAAAUGAUGGACGGG
Molecule: long non-coding RNA, 778 nt
Filed under: Brassica napus (rape)
Lineage: Eukaryota; Viridiplantae; Streptophyta; Magnoliopsida; Brassicales; Brassicaceae
Description: long non-coding RNA (BNAP_LNC012478)
Source: RNAcentral